CCUACGGGAGGCAGCAGUGGGGAAUAUUGCACAAUGGGGGAAACCCUGAAGCAGCGACGCCGCGUGAGGGAAGAAGGAUCUCGGGACGUAAAGCUCUAUCAGCAGGGAAGAAAAUGACGGUACCUGACUAAGAAGCCCCGGCUAACGACGUGCCAGCAGCCGCGGUAAUACGUAGGGGGCAAGCGUUAUCCGGAGUGACUGGGUGUAAAGGGAGCGUAGACGGCAGCACAAGUCUGUAGUGAAAUCCCGGGGCUUAACCCCGGAACUGCUUUGGAAACUGUGCGGCUGGCGUGCAGGAGGGGUAAGCGGUAUUCCUUGUGUAGCGGUGUAAUGCGUCGAUAUUAGGAG
RNAcentral lists this ribosomal RNA (348 nucleotides) under uncultured bacterium. Its description in RNAcentral is "partial 16S ribosomal RNA". It matches the Rfam family "Bacterial small subunit ribosomal RNA", at positions 338 to 703 of the family's 1533-position model. The record is from RNAcentral.